Molecule: ribosomal RNA, 261 nt
Filed under: uncultured soil bacterium
Lineage: Bacteria
Description: partial 16S ribosomal RNA
Rfam family: Bacterial small subunit ribosomal RNA
Source: RNAcentral
AGGAUGAACGCUGGCGGCGUGCUUAACACAUGCAAGUCGAACGAUGAAGGCUGGAGCUUGCUCUGGCUGGAUUAGUGGCGAACGGGUGAGUAACACGUGAGUAACCUGCCCCAGACUCUGGGAUAAGCGCUGGAAACGGCGUCUAAUACCGGAUACGAGCUUCCACCGCAUGGUGAGGAGCUGGAAAGAUUUCGGUCUGGGAUGGACUCGCGGCCUAUCAGCUUGUUGGUGAGGUAAUGGCUCACCAAGGCGACGACGGGU